RNAcentral lists this unclassified non-coding RNA (501 nucleotides) under uncultured Diversispora. RNAcentral's name for it is "SSU rRNA". It matches the Rfam family "Eukaryotic small subunit ribosomal RNA", at positions 591 to 1092 of the family's 1831-position model. The record is from RNAcentral. Lineage: Eukaryota; Fungi; Glomeromycota; Glomeromycetes; Diversisporales; Diversisporaceae.
CCAAUAGCGUAUAUUAAAGUUGUUGCAGUUAAAAAGCUCGUAGUUGAACCUCGGGGUCUACCCAUUGGUCAGGCUUAAUUGUCUGCACUGGUGAGAUGGAUCUCUACCUUCUGAGGAACUUUCAUGCCAUUUAUUUGGUGUGAUGGGAAAUCAGGACUGUUACUUUGAAAAAAUUAGAUUGUUUAAAGCAGGCUUACGCUUGAAUACAUUAGCAUGGAAUAAUGAAAUAGGACGUUUGAUUCUAUUUUGUUGGUUUCUAGGAUUGACGUAAUGAUUAAUAGGGAUAGUUGGGGGCAUUAGUAUUCAAUUGUCAGAGGUGAAAUUCUUGGAUUUAUUGAAGACUAACUACUGCGAAAGCAUUUGCCAAGGAUGUUUUCAUUAAUCAAGAACGAAAGUUAGGGGAUCGAAGACGAUCAGAUACCGUCGUAGUCUUAACCAUAAACUAUGCCGACUAGGGAUCGGAUGAUGUUAAUUUUUUAAUGACUCAUUCGGCGCCUUACG